This 29-nucleotide non-coding RNA is filed under the name Homo sapiens (human). The record is from RNAcentral. Lineage: Eukaryota; Metazoa; Chordata; Mammalia; Primates; Hominidae.
AUGCCUCUAACACAGAUUGUUGCCUGCCU